AAUAGAUACCCAGGUAGUCCACGCAGUAAACGAUGCAGACUAGGCGUGGGGGGACUUGACCCCCUCCGUGCCGAAGCCAACGCGUGAAGUCUGCCGCCUGGGGAAUACGGCCGCAAGGCUAAAACUCAAAGGAAUUGACAGGGGCCCGCACAAGCGGCGGAGCGUGCGGUUUAAUUCGACGCAACGCGCAGAACCUUACCAGGGCUUGACAUGCUCCUGCAGAGCCGUGAAAGCGGUUGGCCUUCGAGGGUGGAGCACGGGUGCUGCAUGGCUGUCGUCAGCUCGUGUCGUGAGAUGUUGGGUUAAGUCCCGCAACGAGCGCAACCCCGUGGCUAGUUGCCGAUGUUUCUAGCCAGACUGCCGGUAGCAAGCCGGAGGAAGGUGGGGAUGAUGUCAAGUCAGCAUGGCCCUUACGUCCUGGGCUACACGCACGCUACAAUGGCCGGGACAAUGGGCUGCCAAACCACAAGGUGGAGCGAAUCCCACAAACCCGGUCUCAGUUCAGAUCGCGGGCUGCAACUCC
RNAcentral lists this ribosomal RNA (523 nucleotides) under uncultured bacterium. Its description in RNAcentral is "bacterial SSU rRNA". It matches the Rfam family "Bacterial small subunit ribosomal RNA", at positions 777 to 1314 of the family's 1533-position model. The record is from RNAcentral.